RNAcentral lists this ribosomal RNA (301 nucleotides) under uncultured bacterium. Its description in RNAcentral is "partial 16S ribosomal RNA". It matches the Rfam family "Bacterial small subunit ribosomal RNA", at positions 509 to 807 of the family's 1533-position model. The record is from RNAcentral.
CAGUAGCCACGGGAAUACGUAGGGUGCAAGCGUUAAUCGGAAUUACUGGGCGUAAAGCGUGCGUAGGUGGUGGUUUAAGUCCGUUGUGAAAGCCCUGGGCUCAACCUGGGAAUUGCAGUGGAUACUGGGUCACUAGAGUGUGGUAGAGGAUAGUGGAAUUUCCGGUGUAGCAGUGAAAUGCGUAGAGAUCGGAAGGAACAUCUGUGGCGAAGGCGACUAUCUGGGCCAACACUGACACUGAGGCACGAAAGCGUGGGGAGCAAACAGGAUUAGAUACCCGUGUAGUCCCUGUCUCUUAUAC